Long non-coding RNA from Daphnia carinata, 756 nucleotides. RefSeq lists it as uncharacterized. NCBI's taxonomy places the organism in Eukaryota, Metazoa, Arthropoda, Branchiopoda, Diplostraca, Daphniidae. The transcript is spliced from 6 exons. The record is from RefSeq and is a predicted model, not a curated record.
CCUUCAUUCACCAUUUUGGAUGUAGCCUUCGUCACGAAUCAUCUUCUGACGUAUUGUCCGGUCUUUUGCAACUUAAAUACGCCUUCUUUUCUUGAAAUAGGGUACAGUAAUUGCAUGGCCCAUUAUGAGUCUGCCGUCUGACCUAUACACAUGUAUUGGAACAACUAAUUACAUGGAGGUUUUUGAGUCAAGGGACUUGAGUUGUCAGCAAUUGGUUGAAAAGAACAUCAAUGAAAUCCUGGGUUGCUCACUGUUUAUGGAACAUACUUGUCUAAUCAGGCCAAAAGUACAACAAAUCUAUCCACAUCGAACAUGGAACUGAUUAAAGUAUUGUACAUGGAAAUGUUUGAAGAUGGAAUGGGUUCGAUGUAUGUUGGAGUAAUGUUCCAGAAAGCAGCAUUCCAGGGGCAAGAAUAUAAGUUGAAAGGCUGAUCAACACAUGUAUUGUUCAACGUGUUUUCUUUGCACCUUGUUAGAUGGAAUUUGUGGAAGUUACCGAAAUGUCAGGACGGAGUAAUACGCAAAAUUUGGAGUCGAAAAGUGUUUUUAAGUGGUGAAUACUUAGAACGUCUGUUUCCACUUCCAGAAGUUUUAAGGCUUGGAACAUUACAAAGGCUGUGGAUGGUGGAAUUUGCAUUGCAAGUCAAAAUCUUGUGUUGUUGCCUGUCGACCAUUAAGUAACGGUUCGAGCUAGUGUGACUUAAAAAUGAUUGCUUCUUAGAUACUAAAAAUAAAUACACAAAGAUAUAAUUGGAA